CGUGUGGUGAGCACAAUGUGAACUAUUCUUUCGCCUUUUACUAAAGAAUACUGUGUGCUUUUUACCAAAAAAAAAAAAAAACAAAUAAAUAAUGUGAAUUUUACAAGGGAAAAUUU
Small nuclear RNA from Macadamia integrifolia, 116 nucleotides. RefSeq annotates it as U5 spliceosomal RNA. NCBI's taxonomy places the organism in Eukaryota, Viridiplantae, Streptophyta, Magnoliopsida, Proteales, Proteaceae. The record is from RefSeq and is a predicted model, not a curated record. The transcript has a single exon.